GACGAACGCUGGCGGCGUGGAUUAGGCAUGCAAGUCGAACGGUAUCAUCCUUUCGGGGGUGAGAGAGUGGCGAACUGGUGAGUAACACGUAGGUUAUCUACCCUCAAGACGGGGACAACCCAGGGAAACUUGGGCUAAUACCGGAUGUGAGCAACUUUUAGUUGUUUGAAAGGUGGCGUAAGCUGUCGCUUGGGGAUGAGCCUGCGUCCUAUUAGUUAGUUGGUGAGGUAACGGCUCACCUAGGCAAUGAUAGGUAGGCGGCCUUAACGGGUGGUCGCCCACACUGGGAUUGAGAUACGGCCCAGACUCCUACGGGAGGCAGCAGUCGAGAAUAGUCUACAAUGGUCGGAAGACUGAUAGUGCGACGCCGCGUGAACGAUGAAUCCCUUCGGGGUGUAAAGUUCUUUUAUAUGUGAGCAGUGCUUCUUAUAUUAACAGUAUGGGGAGAGAGAUAUUAGCAUAUGAAAUAAGCAACGGCUAACUCCGUGCCAGCAGCCGCGGUAAUAC
Molecule: ribosomal RNA, 507 nt
Filed under: uncultured bacterium
Lineage: Bacteria
Description: bacterial SSU rRNA
Rfam family: Bacterial small subunit ribosomal RNA
Source: RNAcentral